CAGUAUGCUCUAACGCAUGCUUCAAUCACCGACGCGUGCAGAGCUAGCCGUGCACUGGCGUCCAUGCAAGUGGCCAUGCACUGGAGCUUUCACACGCGGAUGUGUUAAAGCCAACCACCCCACCCGUCUAGCUGCGCACAUAUUUAAUGCAGUACACCCCCCACAACGCUGUAGAUGAAACAAGCUCCAUUGCAAACCACAUCGAAGGUUUCCCGAUCUCUCCCGGCGACGCCGCAGGCAGGCUCUGGCGCACAGCAAGGCUUUGAAUCAAAUCGAUGGGCGGAGAAGUUCAUCAAGAACGGGGCCCAGCAAGACACAGGCUUUGAAUCAACUCCGGUCAUCAUGAACAGAAAGAGAAUGCAGCACGGAGAACCAGCAAUCCAGACGGGAUCAUCAAGCAGGUCCGGCACAUCACACACAUCUUUUUUUUUGCAAGGUAAUACGUGUCUUAUUGACGUGGGCAUAGCCCAGUGGUUGGGGGCGCAUGAUUGUAAACCUAACGACCAGAGUUCGAUCCACGUCGGGGACGAAUUUCUGGAAUUCUCAUGAGGGAUGCUUCUUCUAUAUCAAUAAAACCGUGGGUGCUAGUGCCCAUGGAGUUUCAUUUUUUUUUCCAUAAAGAACAAAGUACAAGUCACGUAAAGACCGACAUGACAAAACUGAAAAGAUAGCAGAACAUCUUUGAGCUUGACACCAACGCACGUCACCUGCCUCCGGCACCACCACAGUAGCCACCGAAAAAAAAAUGACGAAUCACCUUCUCACCCGAGCUCGACGCGGCUCCAUCGCUGAUAUGCAGCUUUGCGGACCUCCAAGGUGGCUCACCAAAAGUGAAGCCCUUACCGUUGAACGAAUCAGACCAGGGCAACACUCCGGACACGCCAUCCAACUCCAGAUCUAGCAUCCCACCACGACUAAAACGCCGAAGGAGGAAACCAUAUCUGCCAUCCACGAACCACGAGCCCAGCACAUGCUCCGUCUUCCAGAUGUCGUCGAUGUAGACCACAAUCUGCAUCUGCUCCUGGACUACCUCCCAAGCUUCGCGCCGACGCUGGAGCAAACGCCGUCGUAACGGUGGAGCUCGAGGACACAGGUCCACCACGAGGAUGCCGCCACCGCCACACCAUCCUUGCUUGAACAGACUGGUUUCCAAAUCCAUCCCCAACAAUAGAACCGAUGGCCUCGUUAGGAAAGAAUCCGAAAAAUCUUUAUUCAGCGUUGUCAUCGUCACCGCCGAAGCAAAGACGAUGAACAACCUAAAAACCUAGACUACGAGAGAGUAAAAACGAUCCACACGCGUGGAUCCGGCAACCCCACCUCACCACCGACGACCGAGGGCGCCGGCGGAGGGGAGCCGCCGGAGAGCGGCGUUGGAAGACCGGCCUCCCCUGGCGGCGGCUAGGGUUCCAGCCGCCAGGGACGAGAGGAAAACUCAGCGUUGGCGUUUAGAUCCAACACAUCACACACAUCUAGAAAACCAAAUUGGGCCCACGUGGUAAAAACAGUACGGUAUUGCAUGCCUGGUGCUUAAGUCAUACACGUACCGCACGGAACGAGCCCUACAUAGGCAGCGCGGCCACAGUAUUCCUUUGUAUAUGACGAUGUAUGCUUCCCUUUGUCAUUCCCCGAUUAUUAAUGCGCACAUCAUCUCGACGCAGCCUGCGGCCAGAUAUCUGCGCGCAGGAGCAAUGCUACACUUACGUAAAGGAGCUACUUAAGUUUACGUAUCAGCCAACGUGGAACAAUAGGAUUGGUGUUUAGGGGAGUGAGGGGCCCACCCCCUAAAAAUCAGGGGGGUGUUUAGAUUAGUUUGGAAAGUUUCGUAACCUUACGUAUAGUCUUUCGUAGGUUUAGCAUUUUCGCUACGCGCAGAUGCCGCUGCGUCCAGAACGUCCACACUCAUCUACGGAGGUGCCUUUUAACUUGCUCAUUCCUGUCGCCGCCGCCGCCCCUCUCCCCGUCUCUGCCCACGAGGUGCCUACCGACGCGGACGGCGAUGACGACGACGACGAGGUGACGUUCUCGUGCGGUGUAGCUCUGACGUGCGACGGCAAGGUGCAGAUCUCUCGAUAGGUGGUAACAUGGAGAAGAUGGGAGGUGCUCCCGGCCAGAUCUGAGGGCGCCCGUGACAUCUGUUGCAUAUCUCGCAUGAGGAGUCGGUGGAGAAUUGAUGGCAUCGCCGCCGGCUGCAGCAAUCCACCAUUAUCUGCAGCUGCCAUCUCUCGGUGAGGUAGUCAUCAUCCAGAUUCAGGUUGUACUGUUGCUAAUUAGGCAUGGUUCUUUUCUAAUCUUCAAUUCCCAUAUCAGUUAGACGUAGUUGAUUUCUAUCUAUGGAUCCUUUGCCUUUUGUACUAGCAAAUAAAACCAAUUGAUUGAUUGUUUUCAUGGAACACAGGUUUCUAGUAAUUCUCUAUGUUUUUUCUCUGCGUAAAGUAACACAUACUGAACUCAAUUGAUUGAUUGUGGAACUCAAUUUUUUUGUGGAGGACAGAGUUCUCCUGAUUUCUCUGUUGCAAUUUUUCCAAGGCUGACAGAAAGGAAACUAUACUGAUUCUCCAUGCAAGUAGUGAUUUCUUCUUUGUUUAUGCUUCUUUGGUUCAUUAAGUUCAUUGGAGUGUGGCACAUGUGCUUAUCCAUUCAUGAACCUUGAUCUUUCAUGUGCCCAGAUUUUGAAACAGUUCUUUGUGUGAAAUUAAGCAUUCUUUUUUGCGAGAAUUGUUGUUGAAAAUAAUGUACCCUAAAAAAUUAAAUGAAAAAAUGCACACUAAAAAUCAACAUUUGAUUAUUUCUUGCCACAAGAGAUCAUUGGGUUAUUUGUUCAAUGAUUUAUGUUAUAAUGAACCAAAACUUUUUGGCCAAUCUGAUGUAGUUCUCAACGGAAAGGAUUUUUUUUUUGUUAAUUUGGCUAAAGACUGCUUCAGGUAAAUGUCCGGUUCGACUAUUUCUGGCCAAAAGCUAAAUAUUGUUAAUUGUGCUGGUAGUUGUGUUUAAUCGAUUCAGACUUGUCUGGAUUGUGCAUAUAAUGGGGGUGAGAGAUUUUGAAUGUAGUGGGAAUAGAGCAUGGUAAAGAUUUGUGCUGAACAAAUGUAAGUUUGAGAGACAACCAAUCAGUAAUAGCAAAUUCUUAUUAGUAGUUUAACUUGUGGAUAAACUUAUGUUGACCUGUGGAAAGAACCACUUCACCAAUGGAGAAGUGAAGACAUGGCCGUCGGUUGCAGCGAUCCACCACUACCUGCAGCUCUCGUCUCUCGGCGAGGUGGUCUUCGUUCAAAUCCAGGCUGUACUGUUGCUAAUUUGGCCUGGUUCUUUUCCAAUCUUGAAUCCCCAUAUCAGUCAUAUGUUGUUGGUUUCUAUUCAUGAGUUCUUUUGCCUUUUGUACUAUCAAAUAGAACAAUUGAUUGAUGGUUUUCAUU
Molecule: long non-coding RNA, 3413 nt
Organism: Triticum aestivum (bread wheat)
Lineage: Eukaryota; Viridiplantae; Streptophyta; Magnoliopsida; Poales; Poaceae
Exons: 2
Source: RefSeq, a predicted model, not a curated record